Molecule: ribosomal RNA, 762 nt
Filed under: Prevotella nigrescens
Lineage: Bacteria; Pseudomonadati; Bacteroidota; Bacteroidia; Bacteroidales; Prevotellaceae
Description: bacterial SSU rRNA
Rfam family: Bacterial small subunit ribosomal RNA
Source: RNAcentral
GAUGAACGCUGGCUACAGGCUUAACACAUGCAAGUCGUGGGGAAACGGCAUUAUGUGCUUGCACAUUCUGGACGUCGACCGGCGCACGGGUGAGUAUCGCGUAUCCAACCUGCCCCUUACUUGGGGAUACCCCGUCGAAAGACGGCCUAAUACCCGAUGUGUUUCAUUGACGGCAUCCGAUAUGAAACAAAGGUUUUUCCGGCAAGGGAUGGGGAUGCGUCUGAUUAGCUAGUUGGCGGGGCAACGGCCCACCAAGGCGACGAUCAGUAGGGGUUCUGAGAGGAAGGUCCCCCACAUUGGAACUGAGACACGGUCCAAACUCCUACGGGAGGCAGCAGUGAGGAAUAUUGGUCAAUGGACGCAAGUCUGAACCAGCCAAGUAGCGUGCAGGAUGACGGCCCUAUGGGUUGUAAACUGCUUUUAUGUGGGAAUAAAGUGGCGCACGUGUGCGCCAUUGCAUGUACCUCAUGAAUAAGGACCGGCUAAUUCCGUGCCAGCAGCCGCGGUAAUACGGAAGGUCCGGGCGUUAUCCGGAUUUAUUGGGUUUAAAGGGAGUGUAGGCGGUCUGUUAAGCGUGUUGUGAAAUUUAGGUGCUCAACAUUUAACUUGCAGCGCGAACUGUCAGACUUGAGUACACGCAGCGCAGGCGGAAUUCAUGGUGUAGCGGUGAAAUGCUUAGAUAUCAUGAGGAACUCCGAUCGCGAAGGCAGCCUGCGGGAGUGUUACUGACGCUUAAGCUCGAAGGUGCGGGUAUCGAACAGG